UAAAAUAUCCUCCAGUAUCCAUCUGCUCAAUGAAUUUAAGGACACACCGGUACAGUAGCAUUAACAGGG
Molecule: long non-coding RNA, 69 nt
Organism: Etheostoma cragini (Arkansas darter)
Lineage: Eukaryota; Metazoa; Chordata; Actinopteri; Perciformes; Percidae
Exons: 3
Source: RefSeq, a predicted model, not a curated record